GCCCCAGACUCCUACGGGAGGCAGCAGUAAGGGAUAUUGGUCAAUGGGGGAAACCCUGAACCAGCAACGCCGCGUGAGGGAAGACGGUUUUCGGAUUGUAAACCUCUGUCCUCUGUGAAGAUGAUGACGGUAGCAGAGGAGGAAGCUCCGGCUAACUACGUGCCAGCAGCCGCGGUAAUACGUAGGGAGCGAGCGUUGUCCGGAUUUACUGGGUGUAAAGGGUGCGUAGGCGGCUUGGCAAGUCAGUAGUGAAAUCCAUGGGCUUAACCCAUGAACUGCUAUUGAAACUGUCGAGCUUGAGUGAAGUAGAGGUAGGCGGAAUUCCCGGUGUAGCGGUGAAAUGCGUAGAGAUCGGGAGGAACACCAGUGGCGAAGGCGACUUUCUGGACGAUAACUGACGUUGAGGCACGAAAGUGUGGGGAGCAAACAGGAUUAGAUACCCGAGUAA
This 448-nucleotide ribosomal RNA is filed under the name uncultured bacterium. Its description in RNAcentral is "bacterial SSU rRNA". It matches the Rfam family "Bacterial small subunit ribosomal RNA", at positions 328 to 793 of the family's 1533-position model. The record is from RNAcentral.